UGGGGAAUAUUGCACAAUGGGCGAAAGCCUGACCCAGCAACGCCGCGUGUGGGAUGAAGGCCCUCGGGUCGUAAACCACUGUCAGGAGGAAAGAAAAGUCGGCCGGAUAAUACUCGGUCGACCUGACGGUACCUCCAAAGGAAGCACCGGCUAACUCCGUGCCAGCAGCCGCGGUAAUACGGAGGGUGCAAGCGUUGUUCGGAAUUACUGGGCGUAAAGCGCGUGUAGGCGGCUCUUCAAGUCAGGCGUGAAAGCCCCAGGCUCAACCUGGGAAAUGCGUUUGAUACUGUCGAGCUAGAGUGUGGAAGGGGCGAUUGGAAUUCCGUGUGUAGCGGUGAAAUGCGUAGAUAUACGGAGGAACACCAGAGGCGAAGGCGGAUCGCUGGGCCAACACUGACGCUGAGACGCGAAAGCUAGGGUAGCAAACAGGAUUAGAUACCCCCGUAGUCCCUGAGCGGGCUGGCAAGGCGCAU
This 473-nucleotide ribosomal RNA is filed under the name uncultured bacterium. RNAcentral describes it as "bacterial SSU rRNA". It matches the Rfam family "Bacterial small subunit ribosomal RNA", at positions 355 to 825 of the family's 1533-position model. The record is from RNAcentral.